This 577-nucleotide ribosomal RNA is filed under the name uncultured bacterium. RNAcentral's name for it is "bacterial SSU rRNA". It matches the Rfam family "Bacterial small subunit ribosomal RNA", at positions 43 to 615 of the family's 1533-position model. The record is from RNAcentral.
CAGGCCUAACACAUGCAAGUCGAACGGCAGCACGGACUUCGGUCUGGUGGCGAGUGGCGAACGGGUGAGUAAUGUAUCGGAACGUGCCCAGUAGCGGGGGAUAACUACGCGAAAGCGUAGCUAAUACCGCAUACGCCCUACGGGGGAAAGCAGGGGAUCGUAAGACCUUGCACUAUUGGAGCGGCCGAUAUCGGAUUAGCUAGUUGGUGGGGUAACGGCUCACCAAGGCGACGAUCCGUAGCUGGUUUGAGAGGACGACCAGCCACACUGGGACUGAGACACGGCCCAGACUCCUACGGGAGGCAGCAGUGGGGAAUUUUGGACAAUGGGGGAAACCCUGAUCCAGCCAUCCCGCGUGUGCGAUGAAGGCCUUCGGGUUGUAAAGCACUUUUGGCAGGAAAGAAACGUCAUGGGUUAAUACCCCGUGAAACUGACGGUACCUGCAGAAUAAGCACCGGCUAACUACGUGCCAGCAGCCGCGGUAAUACGUAGGGUGCAAGCGUUAAUCGGAAUUACUGGGCGUAAAGCGUGCGCAGGCGGUUCUGAAAGAAAGAUGUGAAAUCCCAGAGCUUAUCUU